Sturnus vulgaris (Common starling) is the source of this 96-nucleotide non-coding RNA. NCBI's taxonomy places the organism in Eukaryota, Metazoa, Chordata, Aves, Passeriformes, Sturnidae. The record is from RefSeq and is a predicted model, not a curated record.
GGACCCGACACAAACAUCCUUCCUGAAGAUGGCCGACGGCGGCGGGCAGCCACGGAUUGCCCAGACCAGCCGGCUGACUGAGGCCAUCAAGAACUU